AUUGCCAUCCGACUGUUUCUCCAUCGUCAAACUCAAACGUUUCAGUAGCGUUUUCACCCUUGGUGCUCCUAUGUUUUCGACGUGAACAAACAAAUUUUAUAACAAUUAAGGAAAGGAGUGUUCUUGUUCACAACGGAAACAGAUGAGCACAAAGAUGUGCAGAUGCUACUGAAAACGUUUUGACUUUGACGAUGGAGAAUAGUCUGAUAGCGAUUAAAUGGAGAGGCUCCUCCAGUAACUUAGAC
Arabidopsis thaliana (thale cress) is the source of this 245-nucleotide long non-coding RNA. RefSeq annotates it as other RNA. The record is from RefSeq. NCBI's taxonomy places the organism in Eukaryota, Viridiplantae, Streptophyta, Magnoliopsida, Brassicales, Brassicaceae. The transcript has a single exon.